RNAcentral lists this long non-coding RNA (968 nucleotides) under Androctonus crassicauda. The record is from RNAcentral. Lineage: Eukaryota; Metazoa; Arthropoda; Arachnida; Scorpiones; Buthidae.
CAGUUUCUUUUAACUUUGUAAAAGUGACGCAAUUUUUUUAGUGAAUUAUUAACAUAUUUUAUAUUAAAAGAAUAUGGGUAUUAUCAUUCCAGAAGAGAAGGUUGAAAAAAAAUGCAAUACCAUCUCAAAACUCUUCUAUUAAAAGCCAUGACAAAGUUUUAACAGAAAAGCACAUUUUCCCGAACCACGUUUGCACAUACAUGUAGCUUGACUGUCUGCUUCUUUUUGUGUAAUGUUUAUCACAUAUGAUGAAGAUUUCAGGGCACUUGUUCGUAAACAUAAUGCCUCAACACACCAUGCAAUUUCAGACUUUCGAGAUUUCAGGCCACACGAAAUUAUGUGGCUAGCAUUCAAUGUAGUUUCACCCUCGAUUACACAACGUUUACUAUAUAUUUCAGUUGUAUUUAAAAAAUUAAAAAUAUCUGACAAAGAUAUUGCCAUCGCUAUCAUAUGUUGUUUUCAGCCCAACCAAAUGAGCUGUUUUUUGUCCAAAAGAGAGGAAAAAGAGCUAGCGAGCUGUACAUACGCUUAAGCUUACUGUGUUAUGUCAUUCACCUUUUAGCCGGCCAUUGCACCUGCACAAAGUGCCCUCUAUAGUUGGUGGUGGAUCUCAAUAAACUAGAAACAUUUUCACUUCAGCCUUCCUCCUCAGAUCAAAUCAGAGGACCAAUCGAAAUGAUCAGCUUCUUAAAACAACAAUGCCACAGAUGGAAGAGUACUAUCUUUAUAUGCACAUUUUUGAGAAAUCAAUAAAACAAUUCUUACAAAAAUACAUCAUCUUUAACACUAAAUUGCCAUAUUUUAAGCAAAAUUAAUAAUAUAAAACAUAACUAAUUUUAAAUAUUGAUAUUACAAAGAACAUUGAACUAUACAAAAAAUUCAAUGGUAAAGGAAGCAAAUGGUUUACACCUGUUCUCUAUUUAAGAUCUUUAGCAAAACUAAACAUCCAGGUAUAAACCAUUUGUUUA